AGAAUGAUAGGCCGUCGGUCUACCGAACAAUAACACCCGCUCGGCGGAAGAUGUUCCCUCUGUCGU
Molecule: microRNA precursor, 66 nt
Filed under: Bombyx mori (domestic silkworm)
Lineage: Eukaryota; Metazoa; Arthropoda; Insecta; Lepidoptera; Bombycidae
Description: mir-2774 microRNA precursor family
Rfam family: mir-2774 microRNA precursor family
Source: Rfam by way of RNAcentral